CGAGGCAGCUGACUUCAUCAGUAGACCACUCAUUGACAAGUUCAUAGCUCAAUGCGCUUACUAGAAGAGCUCCCAGUCCAGGGAAAGAUGCAGCCCAGGAAAGUGGCAAUUCCAACAUGAUGAAGUACGGACUUGUAAGGCUGGUCAAGACAUGCAUGGGGAGACUUCAAGACCUAGGAGAAGUUCACUAGAGAACGAAGAGACAACUAGAGGGAAGGUGCUGAGAAGGCUGGGGGUUCUGAGCAGAGCAUUGGAGAAACAAUUUCAAGACAGUGUCAGAACAUGUUGAAAUAUCAGAAAUAAGACUUGAGAGGGAACACAAACACUGACUUACAGGGCCAGACUCGGAUAAUAUGCGUGUGAAGACUACUGCACCUUAUGCAAAGCAACCCAACCUCCAAUGUGUGCAUCUUGAAUGCCAAGUAUCCAUCAAGCGUUUUUCUGGACAAUUUCACAUGAACCAUCUCCAUCUCUCACCACUGUGGCCUUGUGAGGGAACU
Long non-coding RNA from Fukomys damarensis (Damara mole-rat), 500 nucleotides. RefSeq lists it as uncharacterized. The transcript has 3 exons. The record is from RefSeq and is a predicted model, not a curated record. Lineage: Eukaryota; Metazoa; Chordata; Mammalia; Rodentia; Bathyergidae.